ACAAGCCAUACCCCUCAGCCUCAGGCAACUUACUCUCUCCCAAGGCUGGAGCUUCUCAGGACCUGCUGGGACCUCAGGAGUCAUGGACCCCCAGCAGCUGCUCUUCUUUGUGAAUGGCAGGAAGGUGGUAGAGCAGCAUGUUGAUCCUGAAAUGAUGCUGUUGCCGUACCUGAGGAAGAAUCUCCGACUCACAGGCACUAAGUAUGGCUGUUGAGGGAGAGGCUGUGGCGCCUGCACCGUGAUGGUCUCGAGAUACAACCCCAGCACCAAGAUGAUCAG
Mesocricetus auratus (golden hamster) is the source of this 279-nucleotide long non-coding RNA. RefSeq lists it as uncharacterized. The transcript is spliced from 3 exons. The record is from RefSeq and is a predicted model, not a curated record. NCBI's taxonomy places the organism in Eukaryota, Metazoa, Chordata, Mammalia, Rodentia, Cricetidae.